RNAcentral lists this ribosomal RNA (440 nucleotides) under uncultured bacterium. Its description in RNAcentral is "partial 16S ribosomal RNA". It matches the Rfam family "Bacterial small subunit ribosomal RNA", at positions 338 to 795 of the family's 1533-position model. The record is from RNAcentral.
ACUACGGGAGGCAGCAGUGGGGAAUAUUGCACAAUGGGGGUAACCCUGAUGCAGCGACGCCGCGUGAGUGAAGAAGUAUCUCGGUACGUAAAGCUCUAUCAGCCGGAGAGAAAAUGACGGUACCUGUCUAAGAAGCCCCGGCUAACUACGUGCCAGCAGCCGCGGUAAUACGUAGGGGGCCAGCGUUAUCCGGAUUUACUGGGUGUAAAGGGGGAGUAGACGGGGAUGCAAGUCCGGGGGGAAAGCCGAUGGCUUAACCAUGGUACUGCUCUGGACACUGUAGAGCUUGAGUGGGGGAGGGGCAGGCGGAAUGCGUGGGGUAGCGGUGAAAUGCAUAGAUAUUAGGAGGAACACCGGCGGCGAAGGCAGCCUGCUGGGCCAUAACUGACGUUGAGGCACGAAAGCGUGGGGAGCAAACAGGAUUAGAUACCCUGGUAGUC